UAGAAGGUGGUGUAGUGGAAGCACUAAGAGUUUUGAUCUCUUUAGGAGGGGUUCAAGUCCCCCCCUUCUAA
Molecule: transfer RNA, 71 nt
Filed under: Notholebias minimus
Lineage: Eukaryota; Metazoa; Chordata; Actinopteri; Cyprinodontiformes; Rivulidae
Description: Leptolebias minimus tRNA-Gln
Rfam family: tRNA
About the family: Transfer RNA (tRNA) molecules are approximately 80 nucleotides in length. Their secondary structure includes four short double-helical elements and three loops (D, anti-codon, and T loops).
Source: RNAcentral